AACGCGAAGAACCUUACCUGGGCUCGAAGCGCAGUGGAAUCCGGUGGAAACAUCGGCGCCCGCAAGGGUCGCUGCGGAGGUGCUGCAUGGCUGUCGUCAGCUCGUGUCGUGAGAUGUUGGGUUAAGUCCCGCAACGAGCGCAACCCUUACUCAUAGUUGCUACCUGCAAGGGAGAACUCUAUGAGGACUGCUCCGGAUAACGGAGAGGAAGGUGGGGAUGAGGUCAAGUCAGCAUGGCCUUUAUGUCCAGGGCUACACACGUGUUACAAUGCGCGCUACAGAGCGUUGCAAACCCGCGAGGGGGAGCUAAUCGCACAAAAGCGCGCUCAGUUCGGAUUGCAGUCUGCAACUCGACUGCAUGAAGCCGGAAUCGCUAGUAAUGGCGCAUCAGAACGGCGCCGUGAAUACGUUCCCGGGCCUUGUACACACCGCAUAC
Molecule: ribosomal RNA, 436 nt
Filed under: uncultured bacterium
Lineage: Bacteria
Description: bacterial SSU rRNA
Rfam family: Bacterial small subunit ribosomal RNA
Source: RNAcentral